RNAcentral lists this small nuclear RNA (308 nucleotides) under Myotis lucifugus (little brown bat). Its description in RNAcentral is "7SK RNA". It matches the Rfam family "7SK RNA". From Rfam's summary of the family: 7SK was discovered as an abundant small nuclear RNA in the mid-70s but a possible function has only recently been suggested. Two independent studies have found that 7SK RNA binds the CDK9/cyclin T complex (known as elongation factor P-TEFb). P-TEFb activates transcription by phosphorylating the C-terminal domain of RNA polymerase II. Lineage: Eukaryota; Metazoa; Chordata; Mammalia; Chiroptera; Vespertilionidae. The record is from Rfam by way of RNAcentral.
GGUCAUGGUGUGGAUUUGGCUGCCACAUCUAUCACCCAUUGCUCUCCAGAGUUCAUUCUGCUCAUCUGACUUGCUAGGUGAGAUCCUUUUUACUGCUCAGGUCUCCAUUAGCAUCUCCUCCAAAGCUCAAUCAAAAAGGAUGACUUUCCCUUAUGGAGAAGAAGUCAUCUGCAAUCAAGGGAACUGAAGCUGCUAAUUUCCCUGGUUAUAAAUACAAAACUAGUUCUGCUUGGUGGGGGGGUGGAAGGGUAAAUAAUUUUCUUUAAUUUGCUAUAUCCAUCCUUCUACUUCUCUCUUAAUAAAAUGAA